AGCGAACGCUGGCGGCAGGCUUAACACAUGCAAGUCGAACGGGCAUCUUCGGAUGUCAGUGGCAGACGGGUGAGUAACACGUGGGAACGUACCCUUCGGUUCGGAAUAACUCAGGGAAACUUGAGCUAAUACCGGAUACGCCCUUUUGGGGAAAGGUUUACUGCCGAAGGAUCGGCCCGCGUCGGAUUAGCUUGUUGGUGGGGUAACGGCCUACCAAGGCGACGAUCAGUAGCUGGUCUGAGAGGAUGAUCAGCCACACUGGGACUGAGACGCGGCCCAGACUCCUACGGGAUGCAGCAGUGGGGAAUAUUGGACAAUGGGCGCAAGCCUGAUCCAGCCAUGCCGCGUGAGUGAUGAAGGCCUUAGGGUUGUAAAGCUCUUUUGUCCGGGACGAUAAUGACGGUACCGGAAGAAUAAGCCCCGGCUAACUUCGUG
RNAcentral lists this ribosomal RNA (435 nucleotides) under uncultured bacterium. RNAcentral describes it as "partial 16S ribosomal RNA". It matches the Rfam family "Bacterial small subunit ribosomal RNA", at positions 29 to 507 of the family's 1533-position model. The record is from RNAcentral.